AUGCUAAGAUCAGCCUUCCCUCUCGUCUCUCAGUUGCCGCACAGGAAACCGCCCCCAAUCCACCCACCCCGCCCACAACCUGUUCGUCGCUAUGCCUCCCCCGCCGCCGCCGUCCCGCCGCCGCCUCCUCCGCCACGCCCACUACCUCCGGCCUCCGCCUACGUGCACCUCCCCUUCUGCCGCAAGCGGUGCCACUACUGCGACUUCCCCAUCGUGGCGCUCGGCUCCUCCGCGUCCUCCCCCGGCGGCCCGGGCGAGGGCGAGGACCCCCGGAUCGCCGACUACGUGCGCCUCCUGCUCCGGGAGGUAGCCGCCACGCGUCCCGUCUCCGACGACGGCGUGCCGCUGCAGACCAUCUUCUUCGGCGGCGGCACCCCGUCGCUAGUCCCGCCGAGGCUGGUGGCCGCGGUGCUCGACGCGCUGCGCGGCAGGUUCGGGCUGUCCGCGUGUCCGGAGGUGUCCAUCGAGAUGGACCCCGGCACGUUCGACGCGGCCAAGCUGCGGGAGCUGGUGGGCGUGGGCGUGAACCGGGUGUCGCUCGGCGUGCAGGCGUUCCAGGAGGAGCUGCUCCGGGCGUGCGGCCGCGCGCACGGCCUGCGGGAGGUGCACGAGGCCGUCGGGAUCGUGACCGCCUGCGAGGGGCUCCAGAACUGGAGCAUGGACCUCAUCUCCUCCCUGCCCAACCAGACCCAGGAGAUGUGGGAGGAGAGCUUGCGGCGCACCGUCGAUGCCCGCCCCACGCAUGUCUCCGUCUACGACCUGCAGAUCGAGCAGGGCACCAAGUUUGGGCAAAUCUAUACGCCUGGUGUAUUUCCUCUCCCAAAUGAGACAGACUCUGCGAACUUCUACAAGAUAGCUUCGAAACGGCUUUCUGAAGCAGGAUAUCAACACUACGAGAUCAGUAGCUACUGCAAGCCUGGUUACGAGUGCAAGCACAACGUAACAUACUGGCAAAACAGGCCGUUCUAUGCGUUUGGCCUUGGAUCAGCAAGCUACAUCAACGGUGUCAGGUACUCGAGGCCCAGAGGAAUGAAGAACUACGCAGAUUGGGUUCAGAAGCUGGAAGACGGCACCUGGUGCCAUGAGUCCAGCGUCUCCGAGACGAAGGAUAUGGCUAUGGACUCGGUGAUGCUGUCACUGAGAACAGCUCGCGGGCUGGAUCUGCACAGUUUCAGUAAAUCUUUUGGAGAGGGUCUGACACGGUCAUUGUGUGAUACGUUCAGGCCUUUUGUUGAGAGUGGGCUGGUGAUCGCCAUGGACAAGGAGCGAGAGGCCCUGCAGUUCAGUGAGUUUGAGUCGGAUUUGGAAAGCGAGGGAGAGAUGACCGGGAGCAGGGUGGCCUUCAUCCGUCUGAGUGACCCGGAUGGAUUUCUGUUGUCCAAUGAGUUGAUCUCGCUGGCCUUUGGGACUAUUUCGCCAUGA
This 1422-nucleotide ribosomal RNA is filed under the name Triticum aestivum (bread wheat). RNAcentral's name for it is "partial small subunit ribosomal RNA". The record is from RNAcentral. Lineage: Eukaryota; Viridiplantae; Streptophyta; Magnoliopsida; Poales; Poaceae.